AUUAUGGCAUGCCCUUACCAGCUGUCCGAGGAUGGGAUUGAACUGCAGUUUGCAACGAAUCAUCUCGGUUAGUACUGUACUGGUCAAUCGUGUCAACAAUUCCCUGCCAAAUGUAGCAUCAGGGGAUUUGCUUUGCUGAUAUGACCUGAAUUGCUAUUACUACUUUGUUCAGAAGAAUAUUAUACUUCUUCCGAAGCAAAUUAAUGCUUGAUUAAUUAGGCACAAACAUCUAUUGAAUUUGAGCAGGCCAUUUCUUGCUGACGAAUCUCCUACUCGACAAGAUGAAAUCAACUGCCAGUCAGACUGGUGUGCAAGGCAGGAUCAUAAACGUAGCUUCUGUUGCGCAUAAAAGAAGUGAUGGUACAUGCUUUGAGCUGGACAAGCUAAACGAUAAGGCUAGGUUGGCAAGAAGUUAAUGUUUAGUUGUCAUUGUCAUUGAUCCUGAUUCCAUGAGCUCAACUUAACAAGAAAUUAUUGUUUUUUCCUCUGAAAUUUAUAGGUACAAACCAUUCAUUGCAUAUUCACAUUCCAAAUUGGCCAAUAUUCUUCAUGCAAAUGAGCUGUCUAGGCGUUUUCAGGUAAGCAAUAUCUUGCCUUGCGGCUGAUUGCCUAAUUGCACAUUCACUACAUCCUGACAAACUAACCCACUUUUGGUGAAAUUUUAGGAAGAAGGAUGCAAUCUGACAGCAAAUUCCCUGCAUCCUGGAGUAAUCUUCACCAAUAUCGUCCGGUACAUUGCAGGAAACAGUAAUAACCUUGCAAGCUCAAGCCCCUUAAACGAUGACUCAAAAACGAUUUUUUUUACUGAUUUGUUGGAGCCUCUCACCAGUUAACUAAAAUAAAUGAAUACUUGGCAGGUGCGCUACUCUCAGUUGUCUCCCCUGUGGCAAAACUUGUUCUGAAGGGCGUACCCCAGGUUAUUGAAUCUUAGCUUCCAGUGAACUCACUAUAAUUAACAUAAUAACUGUUUUUAUAACUCAUAAGAACAUCAUCUGACGAACAUGGUUUGUAGGGAGCUGCAACUACUUGCUACCUGGCAUUGCACCCUGAUCUGAAAGAUGUAUCUGGCAAAUACUUUGCGGAUUGCAAUGAAGCAACACCGACCCCAGUCGCAAGAGAUGCAGAGCUGGCAAAGAAGCUAUGGUUAUUCAGUGAAGAACUUUUAGGGGCCAAUGCGGUGCAGGAAUAUCAUGAUUCAUGACUGCACUAGCAUAUUCAUGAAUAAAGUCAUUUAGGAGAUAUCUGAAAAGAAAGUUUUUUUUGGGGUCCCUGGACAUUGUAAAGGCGCUCUAGGAAUUACAGGGUCGAGUUUGAGUGGCCAACUUUCCUUGGAUGCUUGCUCAUGGUGUUGUGCAGAAUUAAAGCAACAAAAUAAGAUCUAGAAUGAAUUCUAAUGAAUUAUUACAAAUCCAACAUUUGGUGACGUAUGCUAGUCUCGUUAGGCAGUUAUUACAAAAUCCAAAAUCCAACUGUAUUUUUAUUAAUUAGAAACCAUAGGUCCAUUUUUGAACGUUUGAGCACGGUUUUGUAGAAAUAAUGCAAGCUCAUAUAACAAGAGAAAAAUCUAUACAACCCAUUAUAAACAACGGAUCAAUGGUUAGCCCGUGAUAGAUGAUGCACUUGCCGAUGUCACACAAUUGUACUUGCAACCGAGCCAGCUUAGUUAUAGUACAGUUACUGGAUCCUCACGCAAACCUCGGCUCCUCACCUCGCUGGCGAGCAAUAACUUUUUUGAUUGCUGAGGAAGCUUUUUUUCCUUGCUACAAUCUUAUCACGGGUCGUCGUCGUCGUCUUCUCCUCCUUCUAUAUCUUUUUUCACAUGUAUCAUGCCUUGGAGCAAAGAGGCCAAAUCAAUCUCAUGCAACCACGCCUCGUGCCGGUACGCCCUCCUAAGAUUUGGGAGGCCCGAAGCGAAAGUAAAACUUGGAGCCCUUUAAUAUAAACAUUAUAAUAAAUAUAUAUAAAAUGUUACCAAUAAAUACUUAAAUGUAUCUUAAAGCAAUAUUCAUAUCAAAUUAUUUAUACAUAUUACCUUAAAAGUUGCUUCUAACAUUCCUCGAUGCAAAGUCACUUAUGAUAGGGUUGAUGUCAAUCUGAUCCAACAAUUUCUUCUCAAUGCAUAAUAUUGCCAAACCAUUUAACCUCUUCCGAGUCAUUGUUGACCUCAAAUAGUUCUUCAAUAACUUCAACUUUGAAAGCUUCUUUCAGCCGAUGCGACAGUCACAUGCAUAGUAAAUAAGAGUCGGUAAGCAAUGGAGGUAUUAGGAUACAAAUCCACAUCUCCAACAUGCUCGAAAAUUUCUAUAGCAGACAUUACGCCAUCUAGCAAAGUGAAUAUCAUAAUCUUUAAUUCAGAAAUAAGAUCAUAUACCUCAACAUCAGAUGAGCCAUCAAAAGAAAAAGUUUCUGCAAAUUUAGUGCAACAUUCUUCAAGUUCAUUAUCAUUUAAUGACUUCAAAGUGCUUUAGCUCAAUAAAAAUCUGAAUAUAUCUUUAAACAUCAUGAGUUCUUCAAAGAAGUGAUUGUCAUAUCAACCAAAACAAAAAAAUAUUUAACUUCAAAAGCCUCCUCAGCUUCAAGAAUUUCUUCUUGGCGGUUACUUUUAUCAAACUGUUUCUUCUUCGUAGCAUGACGUUUUUCUGGAAAUGAUGCCUCUACAUCCAUUUCUGUUGCAAUACUUUUGGCGAUAAUCAGACUAGAAGAAAACCCCUCAUUUUUGUAAUUCUCAAAAUAUUGCGUUAUACCUUGUAUUUGCUUGAAAGUAGAGUCAAUGUACAUGGUUCACGAUUGCAACUUCUUGAUCACUUUAUUUACAACAAAUAAAAUAUCAUGCCAGAUAACCAUACUGAGUAGAAACUCAAAGCUGCCAAGUGCAUCAAAAUUUUUUUUUGCAUCACUUUUAUCCUUAGGUUUAAUGUUAGAAGCAUGACGUAACUCAGACAUUGAACCUAAGGAUAAAAGUGAUGCAACAAAUUUAUUUGAUACACUUAGCAACUUUGAGUUUCUACUUGGUAUGGUUAUCUAGCAUGAUAUUUUAUUUGCUAUAAAUAAAGUGAGCAAGAAGUUGCAAUCAUCAGUCAUGUGCAUUAACUCUACUUUGAAACAAAUACAAGGUAUAACACAAUACUUUGAAAAUUACAGAAAUGAGGGGUUUUCUUCUAGUCUGAUCACCGCCAAAGGUAUUACACAGAAAUGGGUGUAGAGGCAUCAUUUCCAAAAAAAACGUCAUGCUACGAAGAAUAAACAGUUUGAUGAAAGUAACUGCCAAGAAGAAAUUCUUGAAGCUGAGAAGGCUUUCGAAGUUAAAUAUUUUUUAUUUUGGUUAAUAUGGCGAUCACUUCUUUAAAGAACAGAUUUGAAGAACUCAUGGUGUUUAAAGAUAUAUUCGGAUUUUUAUUGACCUCAAGCACAUUAAAGUCAUUAAAUGACAAUGAACUUGAAGAAUGUUGCACUAAAUUUGCAGAAAUUUUUUCUUUUGAUGGUUCAUCUGAUGUUGAGGUAUAUGAUCUUAUUUCUUAAUUAAAUAUUAUGAAAUUCACUGUGCCAGAUGGCGUAAUGUCUGAGAUUUUUGAGGAAAUGUGGAUUGUUAUCCUAAUGUCUCUAUUGCUUACCAACUCUUAUUUAUUGUACCUGUGACUGUUGCAUCGGCUGAAAAAAGCUUUUCAAAGUUUCUGAAAGAAGCUUUUCAAAGUUGAAGUUAUUGAAGAACUAUUUGAGAUUAAUAAUGACUCAAGAGAGGUUAAAUGGUUUGGCAACAUUAUGCAUUGAGAAGAAAUUGUUGGAUGAGAUUGACAUCAACCCUAUCAUAAGUGACUUUGCAUUGAGGAAUGUUAGAAGAAACUUUUAAAGUAAUAUGUAUAAAUAAUUUGACAUAAAUAUUACUUUUAGAUAUAUUUAAGUAUUUAUUGGUAACAUUUCAUAUAUAUUUAUUAUAAUAUUUAUAUUACAUGGUCUCGAGUUUUACGUUUCGCCCCGAGCAAUUUGGACCGGCCCUGGAUUAGUCACACUGAUUCACUGAAGAAAUAGAAGGAAAAUUAACACGAACACGGACCAUGAAUCCGGAUCGAAUGCAGGAUCUCUAAUUCAUCGGAUAUUGAAUUUAAUCGGAGGCAGUUUAGGCGAGUACCUGCAAGGUGUACUCGAACGCUCGAGAUCCCGUCGACUCCUUUGGCGCCGGCGUCUGGCGCCCGCCGGCGAGGGCACAUCGAACGUGAAGCAUGGAGGUCCAGCUAACAACUAAAACCUAUUGGGGAAUAUAGAUCUGAAAAAAAAAACUGAACUCUUUGUUUUAGAUUUCCCACCAAAUUAACCCAAGGAAGUUAGGGGCUUAGGGCUCCACACAAAUGAUUAAAAAGAAAUCAAUCCAAGUCUGAGAGGUGGAUCUCUACUACCCUAAGCCAUAUGGCAUAGACGAAGGAGGACAGAAGAGUACCUUUGUGGCGCUUCUUCGGCGGGAAAGAGGUCUGGGGUUCUUCUUCGUUCGGAGUUUGUCUUUGUCGUCGCGAGGUCUGAUUAGGGAUGGCAACGGGGACUAAUCCCCGCGGGGUCCCCAUCCCCGCGAACAGAAGCAGUUGACUCCGGAAGAGCUCGCACAUUGAGGCCGAAGGCAUCACCAUCAGAGCGAAACUCAAUCUUCCCUACCACUGCUUCCCCAAUCCCCGAAACAACCUCUUACUUCAUUGCCGUCGGAGCUCAAGACGCAACGAUGGAGAAGCGUAGGCAGGAGAUGAGGGCCCUGCCGCGCAGUUGCCUGGCAUUAGAGUUGGAGGAGGCUUCGCUAUGGGAGAGGAGGCGG
Molecule: long non-coding RNA, 4795 nt
Filed under: Setaria italica (foxtail millet)
Lineage: Eukaryota; Viridiplantae; Streptophyta; Magnoliopsida; Poales; Poaceae
Description: long non-coding RNA (SITA_LNC005678)
Source: RNAcentral